CCCGUAGUUGACGACGUGUGUUCAGUGAAAUCGAGUAGGGCGGGACACGUGAUAUCCUGUCUGAAUAUGGGGGGACCAUCCUCCAAGGCUAAAUACUACUGACUGACCGAUAGUGAACCAGUACCGUGAGGGAAAGGCGAAAAGAACCCCUGUGAGGGGAGUGAAAUAGAACCUGAAACCGUGUACGUACAAGCAGUAGGAGCAGGCUU
This 209-nucleotide ribosomal RNA is filed under the name Vibrio parahaemolyticus. RNAcentral describes it as "partial 23S ribosomal RNA". It matches the Rfam family "Bacterial large subunit ribosomal RNA", at positions 372 to 586 of the family's 2925-position model. The record is from RNAcentral. Lineage: Bacteria; Pseudomonadati; Pseudomonadota; Gammaproteobacteria; Vibrionales; Vibrionaceae.